UACGUAGGGUGCAAGCGUUAAUCGGAAUUACUGGGCGUAAAGCGCACGCAGGCGGUUUGUUAAGUCAGAUGUGAAAUCCCCGAGCUUAACUUGGGAACUGCAUUUGAAACUGGCAAGCUAGAGUCUUGUAGAGGGGGGUAGAAUUCCAGGUGUAGCGGUGAAAUGCGUAGAGAUCUGGAGGAAUACCGGUGGCGAAGGCGGCCCCCUGGACAAAGACUGACGCUCAGGUGCGAAAGCGUGGGGAGCAAACAGG
Molecule: ribosomal RNA, 253 nt
Filed under: uncultured bacterium
Lineage: Bacteria
Description: partial 16S ribosomal RNA
Rfam family: Bacterial small subunit ribosomal RNA
Source: RNAcentral